AACAUAAAGUUUUGGUCCUAAACUUACUGCUAUUUUUAAUCAAAAUUACACAUGCAAGUAUCCUCCCACCAGUGAAAAUGCCCAGACUCACAAAACAUGGAGCCGGUAUCAGGCACGAACUUCAGCCCAAAACACCUUGCCACGCCACACCCACACGGGACAUCAGCAGUGAUAAACAUUAAGCAAUGAGUAAGCCACCCCACUCGACUUAGUUAUGAUUAAUAGGGCCGGUCAACCUCGUGCCAGCCACCGCGGUUAUACGAGGGGCCCAAAACAGCAGCCUACGGCGUAAAGAGUGACUAGAAUUCAUGCCCCACAGAGAGAUUAACCCCAGCCUAACCGUAAAACCUAGGUCAAAGGAACCCUUUCCUCUCUUAUUAAGCAAAUUUGAACCCACGAAAACUAAGGCACAAACUAGGAUUAGAUACCCUACUAUGCUCAGUCGUUAAUAUGAUAUCCUCCAACAUGGAUAUCCGCCAGAAAACUACAAGCUAAAGCUUAAAACUCAAAGGACUUGGCGGUGCUCCACAUCUGUUUAGAGGAGCCUGUCCUACAACCGAUACUCCACGUUAAACCUUACCAUCUUUUGCCCCCAGCCUAUAUACCGCCGUCGUAAACCCACCCCACAAGGGCCCAACAGUAGGUUCAACCGUCCCCCCAAAAACGUCAGGUCGAGGUGUAGCUAAUAAGAUGGCAGCGAUGGGCUACAUUUUUUAACAUAAAACACUACAUCCCGGAGCCAUGAAAAACUCCUACAGGCGGAUUUAAUAGUAAAUUAGGCAAGAAAGCCUUUCUUAAACUCGCUCUGGAGCGCGCACACACCGCCCGUCACCCUCCUCAAUAAACAAUACAACACUACAUAAUCCCCCAGCCACAUCAAGAUGAGGUAAGUCGUAACAUGGUAAGCGUACUGGAAAGUGCGCUUGGACUCAAAAAGUAGCUUAAACUAGAGCACCUAACUUACAAUUAGGACGUAUUAGAAUCUUUUUGCACCUAAAAAUAGCUCACCAACCAACACAAAAUAAAACUUACCAAACAAAUCAUUUGUCACGGCCAGUAGAGGCGAUCAACC
RNAcentral lists this non-coding RNA (1072 nucleotides) under Polychrus acutirostris. RNAcentral describes it as "partial contains 12S small subunit ribosomal RNA, tRNA-Val, and 16S large subunit ribosomal RNA". The stretch from base 931 to 991 matches the Rfam family "tRNA". Lineage: Eukaryota; Metazoa; Chordata; Lepidosauria; Squamata; Polychrotidae. The record is from RNAcentral.